UACAGAACCUUUGAGAUGGCAGGUUAGAGGUGAUACAGAACCUUUGAUAUGGCAGGUUAGAGGUGAUACAGAACCUUUGAGAUGGCAGGUUAGAGGUGAAACAGAACCUUUGAUAUGGCAGGUUAGAGGUGAUACAGAACCUUUGAGAUGGCAGGUUAGAGGUGAUACAGAACCUUUGAGAUGGCAGGUUAGAGGUGAUACAGAACCUUUGAGAUGGCAGGUUAGAGGUGAUACAGAACCUUUGAGAUGGCAGGUUAGAGGUGAUACAGAACCUUUGAGAUGGCAGGUUAGAGGUGAUACAGAACCUUUGAGAUGGCAGGUUAGAGGUGAUACAGAACCUUUGAGAUGGCAGGUUAGAGGUGAUACAGAACCUUUGAGAUGGCAGGUUAGAGGUGAUACAGAACCUUUGAGAUGGCAGGUUAGAGGUGAUACAGAACCUUUGAGAUGGCAGGUUAGUGGAGUGAUA
Oncorhynchus keta (chum salmon) is the source of this 466-nucleotide long non-coding RNA. RefSeq lists it as uncharacterized. The record is from RefSeq and is a predicted model, not a curated record. The transcript has 3 exons. Lineage: Eukaryota; Metazoa; Chordata; Actinopteri; Salmoniformes; Salmonidae.